RNAcentral lists this ribosomal RNA (462 nucleotides) under uncultured bacterium. Its description in RNAcentral is "partial 16S ribosomal RNA". It matches the Rfam family "Bacterial small subunit ribosomal RNA", at positions 28 to 507 of the family's 1533-position model. The record is from RNAcentral.
GACGAACGCUGGCGGCGUGCUUAACACAUGCAAGUCGAGCGGAAAGGCCCUUCGGGGUACUCGAGCGGCGAACGGGUGAGUAACACGUGAGUAACCUGCCCCAGACUUUGGGAUAACCCUCGGAAACGGGGGCUAAUACCGGAUACGACACAGCUUCGCAUGGGGUCUGUGUGGAAAGUUUUUCGGUUUGGGAUGGGCUCGCGGCCUAUCAGCUUGUUGGUGGGGUGAUGGCCUACCAAGGCGACGACGGGUAGCCGGCCUGAGAGGGCGACCGGCCAUACUGGGACUGAGACACGGCCCAGACUCCUACGGGAGGCAGCAGUGGGGAAUAUUGCACAAUGGGCGGAAGCCUGAUGCAGCGACGCCGCGUGAGGGAUGACGGCCUUCGGGUUGUAAACCUCUUUCAGCAGGGACGAAGCGUAAGUGACGGUACCUGCAGAAGAAGCGCCGGCCAACUACGUG